GUGGCUCAGUGGUAGAGUGCUUGUCUCGCAUGCAUGAGGCUCUGGGUUCAAUUCCUCAGC
This 60-nucleotide transfer RNA is filed under the name Dipodomys ordii (Ord's kangaroo rat). It matches the Rfam family "tRNA", at positions 7 to 64 of the family's 71-position model. Rfam says of the family: Transfer RNA (tRNA) molecules are approximately 80 nucleotides in length. Their secondary structure includes four short double-helical elements and three loops (D, anti-codon, and T loops). The record is from Rfam by way of RNAcentral. Lineage: Eukaryota; Metazoa; Chordata; Mammalia; Rodentia; Heteromyidae.